This 1580-nucleotide long non-coding RNA is filed under the name Homo sapiens (human). Its description in RNAcentral is "HSALNT0292674". The record is from RNAcentral. Lineage: Eukaryota; Metazoa; Chordata; Mammalia; Primates; Hominidae.
AGGGAAGAAAAGUCAGUAGAGAAGGUAGGCAGUGCUUGCAAAGGCCUGAGCACUGCAAGAAUGGACUAAUACGCUAUGUGAAGACAAAGGGGAUGUCUGCAAGCCAGGACGAGUGCGUCUACCAGAAACUGAGUUCUGCUGGACUUUGAUCUAGGACAUCCAGCCUCCAGAAUGGAAUGUGCCAUAUGUGGAGACCUGCAUGGAAAGGAACUGAGGAUGCUCUCUCACUAAAAGCUAGAAGGAACUGAGGCCCUCAGUCAACAGUCUACAAGACACUGAAUCUUGCCAGCAGCCAAGCAGUGAGCUUGAAAGCAGAUCUAUCAUCAGCUGAACCUUCAGAUGAGACCGCAGCCUAAGCAGAUACCUUGGUUGCAGCCAUGUGAGACAACCUGAAACAGAGGGCACAGCUAAGCCUCAGCCAGGUUCAUGACCCUCUGAGGAAACUGUGAGAAAGCAAAUGUCAUUUUAAGCUAUUUAAUUUUGGAGGUAGUUUAUUACACAACAAUAAAUAACUAUUAUAAUUAUCUUGAGGAUUUAUUUCCUGGGGAGAAUACAUGGAAUUGCAUAUAUAGGUCCUCAUAUGCAGAAUACUGGUACCCUAGAGAUGUUCACCCCAGAGAUGUUUUAGGAACCUGUGAAUAUGUUACAUUAAAUGGCAAAGUUUUCCUGGAUGGUUUAAGUUUAAGAUGGAAAAGUUUUACUGGAUUAUCCAGUGGGUCCAAUCUAGUAACAUGAGUCCUUAAAAAUGGAGAAUAUUUUUUGGCCAUGAUCAGAGAGACAUGUGAUGAUGGAAAAAGUGUCAGAGAUGCAAUGUGAGGGGACUAAAACUGCUGUUGCUGACUUUAAAGAUGGAGAGAGGGGAACCCGAGUCAAGGAAUGCAAAUGGCCUCUGGAAGCUGGAAAAAGCAAGAAAUGGAUUCUCCUUUAGAGCCUGUGGAAUAAAAUGCAGUCAUGCUGACACCUUGAUUUUACCUCAGUGAGACCAAUACUGGAGUAUGACCUUCGGAGCUGAAUAAAAUUAUACGUACACAUCUUAAUUUCUUGGGAUUUGAUUACUUCUUCUGCUUUGAAAUUAGACCAAGUUUAGCCUGCCUUUGCUAUUUUGGCGUAUCUCCAAUUCUUCAUGAUUUUCUCAUCGCAAAGGCCACAUAAGGACAGUGAGAAGGCAGCCACCUGCAAGCCAGGAAGAAAGGUCUCACCAGAUACCAACCCUGCCAGCAUGUUGAUCUUGGACUUCCAGCCUCCAAAACUGGCCUUCUGCUCACAUGGGCUUCCGUGCACCUGCUUCAGGAGACAGCAACACUUGCGCCCGCACCGCGGCAGGCUCCCAUCACCUGGUGGAUAUGCCGCGCCGAGUCUCAUCACACCUUAGUGAAGGAACACAUGGACCCAUAUGUUAGCGGAUGUAUUUACAUCGUUUUAUACAGAAAGGGGAAGAAAACUGCAUACCUCAGAAAGGGGUUGCUCCUCACUCUGAGUACUAGACUAAAGAUAAAAAGACUAGAUAAAAGUACUAGACUAAAGACAGAGCUGACCCAUGACAGAUGGAGUCUUGCUCUGUCACACAUGCUAGAGUCCAG